Molecule: ribosomal RNA, 320 nt
Filed under: uncultured bacterium
Lineage: Bacteria
Description: bacterial SSU rRNA
Rfam family: Bacterial small subunit ribosomal RNA
Source: RNAcentral
UGACGGUACCUGACUAAGAAGCUCCGGCUAAAUACGUGCCAGCAGCCGCGGUAAUACGUAUGGAGCAAGCGUUAUCCGGAUUUACUGGGUGUAAAGGGCGUGUAGGCGGCCUGUUAAGUUAGGAGUGAAAGUCCUGUUUUCAAGGCGGGAAUUGCUUUUAAUACUGAUGGGCUUGAGUGCAGAAGAGGUAAGUGGAAUUCCUAGUGUAGCGGUGAAAUGCGUAGAUAUUAGGAGGAACACCAGUGGCGAAGGCGGUUAGCUGGACAGUAACUGACGCUGAGGCGCGAAAGCGUGGGUAGCAAACAGGAUUAGAUACCCUG